Molecule: ribosomal RNA, 807 nt
Filed under: Triticum aestivum (bread wheat)
Lineage: Eukaryota; Viridiplantae; Streptophyta; Magnoliopsida; Poales; Poaceae
Description: partial small subunit ribosomal RNA
Source: RNAcentral
CAUCUUGAAGAGGUGGAGCAUACAUGGCAGAGAUAAUUUGCCGGAUCAUCUCAAACAUUACCAACAGGACAUGGGCCCGCCGGACGCACCCACUUAUAGACAUUCUGCUUUGUACAUCACUGCCCUGGAGGUGGUUAAAAUGGGCGACAGAAACCUAGAAGCAUGCAAAUUCAUGUUGGAUGGAUUGGUGGAUCUUAGGGAGAGAGGAGCUGAGAUUAGCGCACCAAAUGAUGGCCUAGGCAUCGUUGAGCAGCAGGUCUCGAACAAUGGAGUUGCGGGUGGUUGCAGCAAGAAAACCAAGACUUGUAAGGUGGCGUGCUCUAUAAGAAGUGUUGAAGGGAAUCACAUAACGGCCAUAGGAGAAACAUCGGUGUCGGUUCAUCCACCAGCAAACCAAGGCGAGGGGGCACCGACGUCCAAAGACAUGGCAUCAGAAGGAUCCUGUCCAAAUGCAGAUAGCUACAAUUCAGACUUUUCUGAGGCUGCAUCCAGGUUUACUGUCAAUCUGGAUGAGAGUCUGCUUGCACCAGAAAGGAAAAAGAAACAUGGCCGGCCAACAACAAGUAGGGACAAGGCUCCAUAUGAGAAGGGAAGCAACAAAAGAUCAAGGUUUUGUUCGAUCUGUAGGGGCAAAGGCCACAAGUCAAGCACCUGCCCCGACCGUGGUGACGCCCCUAGAAAAGAAAGGAAAGUGGGCACAUGCAGCAAGUGUGGAGUGCCUGGGCAUAGGAAAACAACAUGCAGCAAGCCGCUCUUGUCCUCGAUGGCCGGUGUUCCUCCAUCUCAUUAGUUUUUCCAAAAUGUUUG